CACUGAGAAGAUAGUGGCGAACGGGUGAGUAACACGUGGGUAACCGUGCCCAUAAGAAGGGGGGAUAAACAUCCGGAAACGGGUGCUAAUACCGCAUAGUUUUCUUGAUCGCAUGAUUGAGAAAGGAAAGACGGCCUUUGUGCUGUCGCUUAUGGAUGGACCCGCGGCGUAUUAGUUAGUUGGUGAGGUAACGGCUCACCAAGACGAUGAUACGUAGCCGACCUGAGAGGGUGAUCGGCCACAUUGGGACUGAGACACGGCCCAAACUCCUACGGGAGGCAGCAGUAGGGAAUCUUCCGCAAUGGACGAAAGUCUGACGGAGCAACGCCGCGUGAGUGAAGAAAGGUUUUCGGAUCGUAAAACUCUGUUGUCAGAGAAGAACAAGUUGGAGAGUAACUGCUCCAGCCUUGACGGUAUCUGACCAGAAAGCCACGGCUAACUACGUGCCAGCCGCCGC
RNAcentral lists this ribosomal RNA (457 nucleotides) under uncultured bacterium. Its description in RNAcentral is "bacterial SSU rRNA". It matches the Rfam family "Bacterial small subunit ribosomal RNA", at positions 82 to 518 of the family's 1533-position model. The record is from RNAcentral.